CCGCGGUAAUACGGAGGGUCCGAGCGUUAUCCGGAAUCAUUGGGUUUAAAGGGUCCGUAGGCGGGCAAUUAAGUCAGGGGUGAAAGUUUGCAGCUCAACUGUAAAAUUGCCCUUGAUACUGGUUGUCUUGAAUUACUGUGAAGUGGUUAGAAUAUGUAGUGUAGCGGUGAAAUGCAUAGAUAUUACAUAGAAUACCAAUUGCGAAGGCAGAUCACUAACAGUAUAUUGACGCUGAGGGACGAAAGCGUGGGGAGCGAACAGG
RNAcentral lists this ribosomal RNA (262 nucleotides) under uncultured bacterium. Its description in RNAcentral is "partial 16S ribosomal RNA". It matches the Rfam family "Bacterial small subunit ribosomal RNA", at positions 515 to 776 of the family's 1533-position model. The record is from RNAcentral.